CUCGGGCUGGCAGCUCUGAGCUAGCUACUAAGCCAGUGAGCGCGCGGAGUCGAGCGAGGAGCGCCUUCUGCGCUGAGUGGCAGUGGUCUGGUGCUGCUGGAGCACUGUGCCGAGUGAGGUCGGAAUCUGCACCCCACUUUCCGCCAGCUCCCGUCACACUUGCUUACGCUCAGGAGCUCAACGCGUGGGAUCAGAUACUAGACUACGGGAUGCUGCACUCCAGAUCCCCGAGGCGUGGCAGGGUCUCGGUCAUCAACCUGAGUGAUACGCUGGCACCGGGCUGGAGGAGAUGAUCUGAUGUUAGACGACCUCGGUGGCCUCUGCUGUUAUUUAAACAAACACUAAGCCUGGCAGCGCUGCAGGGACAUUUGGUGGCCCCUGGCAACAGACAGCAUCUGCAAGAAGGGUCUCGCUAGAUUGACAGAAAAACCAAGGUCUCCAUAAGGUACAAGACUGAGUUGUCCACGGUUCUCAAGCUCUCCGCUCUGGUUCGGUGACAUCUCGGAAUGAACCCCAGAGAAUCCUUGUGCUCUUGACCAGAGCGUUGUGCCGGUGUUCCCCAAGACUGGACACUCUACCCGCCCCAGGUCUGAGGUUCUCAGUCCUGCUCCGAGCAGCCAACUCUGCCCACAGGUAAGACCUUCUCUUUAAAACCAAGCUUUUGAUGUGAGAGCCACGGCUUGGCUGAAGCCUGUCCAGGAGACCGUGAGCC
This 712-nucleotide long non-coding RNA is filed under the name Mus spicilegus (steppe mouse). Its description in RNAcentral is "lncRNA (ENSMSIG00000001314.1)". Lineage: Eukaryota; Metazoa; Chordata; Mammalia; Rodentia; Muridae. The record is from RNAcentral.